RNAcentral lists this transfer RNA (64 nucleotides) under Enoplometopus occidentalis (Hawaiian reef lobster). RNAcentral describes it as "tRNA-Arg". The record is from RNAcentral. RNAcentral also lists the same sequence under 1 other name. Lineage: Eukaryota; Metazoa; Arthropoda; Malacostraca; Decapoda; Enoplometopidae.
AAUUAGAAAGCGAACAUAUCGCUCUUAGUUUCGGCCUAAGCUUUGGUUUUUAAACCUCUAAUUU